RNAcentral lists this ribosomal RNA (115 nucleotides) under Danio rerio (zebrafish). Lineage: Eukaryota; Metazoa; Chordata; Actinopteri; Cypriniformes; Danionidae. The record is from RNAcentral.
AUAAGCAGCUAGCUCUCUGCAAAUCUCAUAUGGUUAUCCACUGAAGCUAAGCAGGGCUGCGCCUGGUCAGUACCAGGAUGGGAGACCACAUGGGAAAGCUAGGUUGCUGCCAGAA